CGCGGGGAAGUGUAACGGUUGCACGUGAGGCUCAUAACAUUAAGGUAGCGGGUUCGACUCCCGCCCCCGCAACCA
Molecule: transfer RNA, 75 nt
Filed under: Patescibacteria group bacterium
Lineage: Bacteria
Description: tRNA-Met
Rfam family: tRNA
About the family: Transfer RNA (tRNA) molecules are approximately 80 nucleotides in length. Their secondary structure includes four short double-helical elements and three loops (D, anti-codon, and T loops).
Source: RNAcentral